RNAcentral lists this transfer RNA (76 nucleotides) under Dactylosporangium sucinum. Its description in RNAcentral is "tRNA-Lys". It matches the Rfam family "tRNA". From Rfam's summary of the family: Transfer RNA (tRNA) molecules are approximately 80 nucleotides in length. Their secondary structure includes four short double-helical elements and three loops (D, anti-codon, and T loops). Further hydrogen bonds mediate the characteristic L-shaped molecular structure. tRNAs have two regions of fundamental functional importance: the anti-codon, which is responsible for specific mRNA codon recognition, and the 3' end, to which the tRNAs corresponding amino acid is attached (by aminoacyl-tRNA synthetases). tRNAs cope with the degeneracy of the genetic code in two manners: having more than one tRNA (with a specific anti-codon) for a particular amino acid; and 'wobble' base-pairing, i.e. permitting non-standard base-pairing at the 3rd anti-codon position. The record is from RNAcentral. Lineage: Bacteria; Bacillati; Actinomycetota; Actinomycetes; Micromonosporales; Micromonosporaceae.
GCGCCGUUAGCUCAGUCGGGUCAGAGCGGCUGGCUCUUAACCAGCGGGUCCGGGGUUCGAAUCCCUGACGGCGCAC